Long non-coding RNA from Orcinus orca (killer whale), 3835 nucleotides. RefSeq lists it as uncharacterized. NCBI's taxonomy places the organism in Eukaryota, Metazoa, Chordata, Mammalia, Artiodactyla, Delphinidae. The transcript has 3 exons. The record is from RefSeq and is a predicted model, not a curated record.
CUUCCCACAGCUGCCGGAGGGAGACGCCCCGCCACGUAGCCACGUGGAGCAGCCCCGCUGGAGCCGCAGGAAGUGGAGUUGCUGGGAUCUCUUCUUGUCCGCACCUCCUGCCGAGAGUGCCCUUUGUGAGAGCACUUCCUGGCCUAAUUAAGCAGGGCCCUCUGUGUUCAGAAAGGAUUCCAGGCCGUUCUAGGUGAUGGCGCAGCUCCACGAAACCAGAGCCGGGUGAAGGAUUGAGGUCCAGGCUGUAAUGCAGGCUGGGCCCAGAGGAUGAUGACAGCUUCGUCGUCAAAACCCAGGCGAGGGGGCUUCCCUGGUGGCGCAGUGGUUAAGAAUCCGCCUGCCAAUGCCGGGGACACGGGUUCGAGCCCUGGUCUGGGAAGAUCCCACAUGCCACGGAGCAGCUUAAACGUGCGGGCCACAACUACUGAGCCUGUGCUCUAGAGCCCAUGAGACACAACUACUGAAGCCCAUCGCCUAGAGCCCGCGCACCGCAACGAAGAGUAGCCCCCGCUCGCCUCAACUAGAGAAAGCCCGCGCGCAGCAACGAAGACCUAACGCAGCCAAAAAUAAUAAAUAAAUAAAUUAAAAAAUUUUUAAAAAGCCCAGGUUUGGGGAAAUGCGGUCACAUCUGAGCCUGACAGUCAGCCCAGCCGCCUGCCUGGCAAUGGUGUCAGAAAGGGAAACAGCGUGUCUGAUGGAAAGGGCUCCCUUCCCACCACUGUCCCUACACUGGGCCUUGCUCAGGGACACUCAGCUUCGCCUGCAUGGGCCGCCUUCCACCUCCCUCACCGGGCAGAAGACCACUGGCCCUGCUUCCAGACCCAGCAUGGAUGCCCCUGCCAGCCUCCAGCGUCAGGGCCAGAUGCCUCCCCAGAGUCCGCCCAGCCCCCCAGGGCUCCUGGGGAGGCCAGCUGAGCGGGAGCCCUGCCCUCACCUCCCGGUGCCCUGGGCCAGCGCAGAGCCCGGUGCCGAGAACCCAGUAAGUGUUUGCUGCUAACAAGCUUGUUGCACUUGAUCUUGUGCCACCGCCUCGCCAAGUCUCCUACACGUAUCCUCUCGUUUCACUCUGACAGUUAGGUGCUGACGUGGGGGCUGUCGUUACUCCCACUUUACACAUGAGGAGACUGAGAUUGGGGUCUGGCCUGAGGACACCUCCUGACUCGGGCCCCUGGAGGCUGUGAGGCAUUUUCUGUUUAUGGCCUUCUUCUGCGAUUCUUGUUCUCCGUAACCAGAUGGUGAGUCCUGGAAGGAGCAGGGAAACGCCGUGUCCACGGCGCUCCCCGUGGCGGGGGACCCUGUGGAGCAGCUUUGGUCGGUGGCAGAGGGGGCUUCACAGUGCCCUCGUCAGUGGUGGGCUUGACCGCAGUGGAGGCGUCCAUGGCCCAGGACUGCGGCCGCUCAGGCGCGGGGCUCCCCUCAGGCCACGGCCCCUUCGCCACAGAGCAGAGGGCGGAGCGGAGCUGCCUCCUAUCCCUGCCUCGUUUUCCGUUUACUAAAAACCUUCGCCUUGGGCUUCCCUGGUGGCGCAGUGGUUGAGAGUCCGCAUGCCGAUGCAGGGGACGCGGGUUCGUGCCCUGGUCCAGGAAGAUCCCACAUGCCACGGAGCGGCUGGGCCCGUGAGCCAUGGCCGCUGAGCCUGCGCGUCCGGAAGAGGCCACAACAGUGAGAGGCUCGCGUACGGCAAAAAAAAAAAACAACCUUCGCCUCUGUUCUGCAGACAAGGUGAGACCAAGGUCCCGACGUGGGCACCUCCCACCGGGGCAGCACCGGAGGUCCCGUGGGUGGCAGGCCCGCGUCCCGGCCCGCCGUCUCCUCCUCAACCACGUCUUCUUCCCAGGGCUUGUCCGAGCCGCUCGCCUCGCUGGAAGGUCGGGGAGCCACCUUCUGAACUUGCUGCUCCUUAUACCCCGGGCGGCCAAGCACCUCGGCCCAAAGCGGCGACUCUCAGCCAGGGGCACCGCGUGCUUCCCCUCUCCACACUGGCCGGGUUGCAGACAUCCUGAUGGUCGUAACUGGGGCCACAAGGAGGGACCGCUCAGCCCCAAAUGUCAGUAGCGCUGGCUGAGGACCCUGCCCCACAGCUGCAAGGAGGGAGGCCGCCGGGCCCGCGUGGACCUCCUCGGGCACCGGCUUCGGCGCCCUUUGCUCCUGCCACUUCCACUGUCCCUUUUCCAUCUGUGUUUCCACCUUGCCUUCCUCAGGAUAUUAUUAUUGUUGGGCACCGGCGGGGCCACAGCAGAGGGCUGGUGUUUUACUGUGGACAUUACCUUUUUCGCCUUACCUAACCGCACCUGGAAAAUGAAGGGGAGCUAAAGCUGUGACGUAGAUAGUAUCCAUUUUACCGAUGGGAACACCGAGACUCAGAGAGGCUAUGUAACAUGUCCAGGGUCACACAGCUGUCGGGUUUCCAGCCCAGCUCCGAGCCUUGCGGUCUGGCACUCCCGCUGCCCCCCACAGGGCGGCAUCGGGCUGUGCAGACAAACCUAACACAGUCGGCACGCAGACGGUACCUUGCUUUCCUCAAGCAAGUCCAUUCCCCGCCUUGUGCUCUGAGGGGAUGUGGAAGCUUCGGGGUGAGACGGGCUGGUGCGUCUUCCGAGGUGCAGCGUGUUCAGCUUCUCAGAGUGAAGCUGUUUGUGUCUGGGAGCCUGAGAGAGACAGAGCAGCUGGGGGCGGAAAAAGCCACACGGCGGGGCCGGCGGUCCUUCUGCCUCUGCCACAGGUUCUGACACCAGAGCAAAACCACCAGAGAGAGAUUGGAAGGGGGUCGCCCUCCCUCUCCCUACUCAGAAAGGCUUCUUUGGGGCCCAUAGGCUCGUCUCUCUGUGCGAACACCUGCGAUGCCGUCCGCGCCAGGUGCAGUGUCCAUGUGGGUACAGCGCCGUGGUGGGCAGUGCCCCUGCUCUGGGUUAGCACUGGCACAAACGCACAUCAGUGUUCCUGGGCCUCUGUCUGCCGUGUCCCCUGUGUGAGCCGUAAGUCCUUGGGGGCCAAAGACGCUAGGUCGUGGGCUUGCCAUCAGCUUGACCAAGCCCAAGACAUUUGUCCCCUGUGGGCAGAGGAGAACUGCCCCAACCUCGCUCCGCUCUCCCCAGGGCCCUGCUGCUUGCCUCUUCGACUGCCCCAGACCCAGGCGGCCUCACCCACUGAUGCCCUUUCCCGCGGGGCUUAGGUCUCAUUUGCCGCUAGAUUGUAUAGAGUCUGCAGCCUAAUUCCCCCUGAUGCUUUUUUUUUUUUAAUAAAUCUAUUUAUUUAUUUUUGGCUGCGUUGGAUCUUCAUUGCUGCAUGCGGGUUUCCUCUGGUUGUUUUCUCUGGAUGACUGCCUGUUUUCCUGAACCCAGGUGCUCCCGCUGAAGCCCGGUUAAAACUUUUUGAUCGUGAGGGAGCUCUGGAAGCUUCCCUCUUAUGGGUCAACGGCUCCAAAGGGCAGAAGUGGCAGAAUCGUCUCGAGCACUUCCUGUGAUUUCUAGGGAACAAGGGCCCCUCCACCAGACUUCCUCCCUCCAGGCAUCUUCCCUGAGCUCCACUUGAUAAAGGUAAGGCCAGGGGCCUUGGGCAUCAGAUGGAGUUCCCUUCUAGUUACCAAAUGUUUCCUGAGCACUUACUCUGAGACUGACGUUGCUGGACCCAAAGGAAUACAGACACGACCUAGUCCGGGGUGAGCUGGAAACCCCUGGAGGACACUUCUGUCCUGUGUCUCCCAUCUCCCCGCAACCUCAGAGAACAUGGCAAAAGAAAUCAUUGCAUUGACUGAUGAAUGUAUUUCAAAGGUGGUGGUGGAAUUUCUUUCUCAUAUUUAGGAAAACUGGAUCAACUGUACUUCAAUAAAAUA